RNAcentral lists this ribosomal RNA (797 nucleotides) under uncultured marine bacterium. Its description in RNAcentral is "bacterial SSU rRNA". It matches the Rfam family "Bacterial small subunit ribosomal RNA", at positions 57 to 902 of the family's 1533-position model. The record is from RNAcentral.
GCAAGUCGAACGAAGUAGCAAUACUUAGUGGCAGACGGGUGAGUAACAUGUAGGUAUCUGCCCUUUGGCCUGGAAUAACACGAGGAAACUUGUGCUAAUACCGGAUAAGUCUUUACGGAGAAAGCUUUAUGCACCAUUGGAUGAGCCUGCACUUGAUUAGUUUGUUGGUGGGGUAAUGGCCUACCAAGACCGUGAUCAAUAGCUGAUUUGAGAGGAUGAUCAGCCACAUUGGGACUGAGACACGGCCCAAACUCCUACGGGAGGCAGCAGUGGGGAAUCUUGCACAAUGGAGGAAACUCUGAUGCAGCGAUGCCGCGUGAGUGAAGAAGGCCUUUGGGUUGUAAAGCUCUUUCGUCGGGGAAGAAAAUGACUGUACCCGAAUAAGAAGGUCCGGCUAACUUCGUGCCAGCAGCCGCGGUAAUACGAAGGGACCUAGCGUAGUUCGGAAUUACUGGGCUUAAAGAGUUCGUAGGUGGUUGAAAAAGUUGGUGGUGAAAUCCCAGAGCUUAACUCUGGAACUGCCAUCAAAACUUUUCAGCUAGAGUAUGAUAGAGGAAAGCAGAAUUUCUAGUGUAGAGGUGAAAUUCGUAGAUAUUAGAAAGAAUACCAAUUGCGAAGGCAGCUUUCUGGAUCAUUACUGACACUGAGGAACGAAAGCAUGGGUAGCGAAGAGGAUUAGAUACCCUCGUAGUCCAUGCCGUANACGAUGUGUGUUAGACGUUGGAAAUUUAUUUUCAGUGUCGCAGCGAAAGCGAUAAACACACCGCCUGGGGAGUACGACCGCAAGGUUAAAACUC